RNAcentral lists this transfer RNA (75 nucleotides) under Crassvirales sp. RNAcentral describes it as "tRNA-Cys". It matches the Rfam family "tRNA". From Rfam's summary of the family: Transfer RNA (tRNA) molecules are approximately 80 nucleotides in length. Their secondary structure includes four short double-helical elements and three loops (D, anti-codon, and T loops). The record is from RNAcentral. Lineage: Duplodnaviria; Heunggongvirae; Uroviricota; Caudoviricetes; Crassvirales.
CUUGGAGUACCAGAGUGGUUCAAUGGCUAGGACUGCAAAUCCUCAGAUUCGUGGGUUCAAAUCCCACCUCCAAGU